CAGUAGCCACGGUAAUACGAAGGGGGCUAGCGUUGUUCGGAUUUACUGGGCGUAAAGGGCGCGUAGGCGGGCGAAUAAGUCAGGGGUGAAAUCCCAAGGCUCAACCUUGGAACUGCCUUUGAUACUGUUUGUCUUGAGUUCGAGAGAGGUAAGUGGAACUGCGAGUGUAGAGGUGAAAUUCGUAGAUAUUCGCAAGAACACCAGUGGCGAAAGCGGCUUACUGGCUCGAAACUGACGCUGAGGCGCGAAAGCGUGGGGAGCAAACAGGAUUAGAUACCCCGGUAGUCCCUGUCUCUUAUAC
RNAcentral lists this ribosomal RNA (301 nucleotides) under uncultured bacterium. Its description in RNAcentral is "partial 16S ribosomal RNA". It matches the Rfam family "Bacterial small subunit ribosomal RNA", at positions 509 to 807 of the family's 1533-position model. The record is from RNAcentral.